GUAUUUUGACUAUACGAAGGUAUUGAAAUAAGGCUUUAAAUGAGUGCUAAGAGAAUGGUUGAACAAUUAUAGGCUUUCUUUAAUUAAUAAAUUGAAGUUAAUUUUUUUGUGAAGAAGCAAAAAUGAAAAUUAGGGACAAGAAGACCCUAUGAAUUUUAAAAUUAAAAAUAGGUGAUUGAUAAAUAACUUUUUAAUUUUAAUUGGGGUGAUGAGGAAAGAAUAGUUAUCUUUUUUUUUAUGAGUUAAUUUGACCCAUUAAUAAUGAUUGAAUGAUUAAAAUACUCUAGGGAUAACAGCGUAAUAAUUUUGGAUAGUUCAUAUAGAUAAAAUAGUUUGCGACCUCGAUGUUGGAUUAGGAUACUUUAUUGGUGGAGA
Molecule: ribosomal RNA, 375 nt
Filed under: Ixodes ovatus complex sp. Group 3
Lineage: Eukaryota; Metazoa; Arthropoda; Arachnida; Ixodida; Ixodidae
Description: partial 16S ribosomal RNA
Source: RNAcentral